UCUCGUCAAAGGACAAGCCGUCAUCCACUAGGAGCUAUCUUCUUACAUCUUUCCCAACUAGAUAGGGGAGGAAAAAUAAAUAACCCAAAUGACAAGGAAAACAGAUACCUCUCAGAGAUAAAAAACUUAACGAGACACUUGAUGCAAAAUGCGUGUCAAUACAAAUACACUAUGGACCAUACAGACUUCAUUUACUUUUCUCUUUUUCUUUUCUUUUUACUUUUACUUUUACCAAUUACAUAUUAU
RNAcentral lists this long non-coding RNA (246 nucleotides) under Carica papaya (papaya). Its description in RNAcentral is "long non-coding RNA (CPAP_LNC016051)". Lineage: Eukaryota; Viridiplantae; Streptophyta; Magnoliopsida; Brassicales; Caricaceae. The record is from RNAcentral.